AGCUACGAUUUGGUUUUUGAUUUUUUUCAUCAUCGAGCAAUUUCAUUGCUUUGAUGCAAAAACAAGAGGCAUUUACGGAGGGAUUUGGUGCUGUUUUGAUCUCUGGGUUUAGUUAUGCCAGAGAUCUUACGUGAGGAGAGCAGUUCAUCUUCAUCAACCACCGCCGGCACCAUCGCCGGCGCCGGCACCGGAGAUUUCAAGCUUAACAUAUUUGGGAAAUAUGAGGUCGGGAAGCUUCUGGGUUGUGGUGCUUUUGCAAAGGUUUAUCAUGCUAGGGAUGUGAGGACGAGACAGAGCGUGG
RNAcentral lists this unclassified non-coding RNA (301 nucleotides) under Hevea brasiliensis (rubber tree). The record is from RNAcentral. Lineage: Eukaryota; Viridiplantae; Streptophyta; Magnoliopsida; Malpighiales; Euphorbiaceae.